Molecule: ribosomal RNA, 2902 nt
Filed under: Escherichia coli KTE94
Lineage: Bacteria; Pseudomonadati; Pseudomonadota; Gammaproteobacteria; Enterobacterales; Enterobacteriaceae
Also listed under: 1 other name
Description: bacterial LSU rRNA
Rfam family: Bacterial large subunit ribosomal RNA
Source: RNAcentral
UUAAGCGACUAAGCGUACACGGUGGAUGCCCUGGCAGUCAGAGGCGAUGAAGGACGUGCUAAUCUGCGAUAAGCGUCGGUGAGGUGAUAUGAACCGUUAUAACCGGCGAUUUCCGAAUGGGGAAACCCAGUGUGUUUCGACACACUAUCAUUAACUGAAUCCAUAGGUUAAUGAGGCGAACCGGGGGAACUGAAACAUCUAAGUACCCCGAGGAAAAGAAAUCAACCGAGAUUCCCCCAGUAGCGGCGAGCGAACGGGGAGGAGCCCAGAGCCUGAAUCAGUGUGUGUGUUAGUGGAAGCGUCUGGAAAGGCGUGCGAUACAGGGUGACAGCCCCGUACACAAAAAUGCACAUAUUGUGAGCUCGAUGAGUAGGGCGGGACACGUGGUAUCCUGUCUGAAUAUGGGGGGACCAUCCUCCAAGGCUAAAUACUCCUGACUGACCGAUAGUGAACCAGUACCGUGAGGGAAAGGCGAAAAGAACCCCGGCGAGGGGAGUGAAAAAGAACCUGAAACCGUGUACGUACAAGCAGUGGGAGCCUCUUAAUGGGGUGACUGCGUACCUUUUGUAUAAUGGGUCAGCGACUUAUAUUCUGUAGCAAGGUUAACCGAAUAGGGGAGCCGAAGGGAAACCGAGUCUUAACUGGGCGUUAAGUUGCAGGGUAUAGACCCGAAACCCGGUGAUCUAGCCAUGGGCAGGUUGAAGGUUGGGUAACACUAACUGGAGGACCGAACCGACUAAUGUUGAAAAAUUAGCGGAUGACUUGUGGCUGGGGGUGAAAGGCCAAUCAAACCGGGAGAUAGCUGGUUCUCCCCGAAAGCUAUUUAGGUAGCGCCUCGUGAAUUCAUCUCCGGGGGUAGAGCACUGUUUCGGCAAGGGGGUCAUCCCGACUUACCAACCCGAUGCAAACUGCGAAUACCGGAGAAUGUUAUCACGGGAGACACACGGCGGGUGCUAACGUCCGUCGUGAAGAGGGAAACAACCCAGACCGCCAGCUAAGGUCCCAAAGUCAUGGUUAAGUGGGAAACGAUGUGGGAAGGCCCAGACAGCCAGGAUGUUGGCUUAGAAGCAGCCAUCAUUUAAAGAAAGCGUAAUAGCUCACUGGUCGAGUCGGCCUGCGCGGAAGAUGUAACGGGGCUAAACCAUGCACCGAAGCUGCGGCAGCGACACUAUGUGUUGUUGGGUAGGGGAGCGUUCUGUAAGCCUGUGAAGGUGGCCUGUGAGGGUUGCUGGAGGUAUCAGAAGUGCGAAUGCUGACAUAAGUAACGAUAAAGCGGGUGAAAAGCCCGCUCGCCGGAAGACCAAGGGUUCCUGUCCAACGUUAAUCGGGGCAGGGUGAGUCGACCCCUAAGGCGAGGCCGAAAGGCGUAGUCGAUGGGAAACAGGUUAAUAUUCCUGUACUUGGUGUUACUGCGAAGGGGGGACGGAGAAGGCUAUGUUGGCCGGGCGACGGUUGUCCCGGUUUAAGCGUGUAGGCUGGUUUUCCAGGCAAAUCCGGAAAACCAAGGCUGAGGCGUGAUGACGAGGCACUACGGUGCUGAAGUGACAAAUGCCCUGCUUCCAGGAAAAGCCUCUAAGCAUCAGGUAACAUCAAAUCGUACCCCAAACCGACACAGGUGGUCAGGUAGAGAAUACCAAGGCGCUUGAGAGAACUCGGGUGAAGGAACUAGGCAAAAUGGUGCCGUAACUUCGGGAGAAGGCACGCUGAUAUGUAGGUGAAGCGACUUGCUCGUGGAGCUGAAAUCAGUCGAAGAUACCAGCUGGCUGCAACUGUUUAUUAAAAACACAGCACUGUGCAAACACGAAAGUGGACGUAUACGGUGUGACGCCUGCCCGGUGCCGGAAGGUUAAUUGAUGGGGUUAGCGGUAACGCGAAGCUCUUGAUCGAAGCCCCGGUAAACGGCGGCCGUAACUAUAACGGUCCUAAGGUAGCGAAAUUCCUUGUCGGGUAAGUUCCGACCUGCACGAAUGGCGUAAUGAUGGCCAGGCUGUCUCCACCCGAGACUCAGUGAAAUUGAACUCGCUGUGAAGAUGCAGUGUACCCGCGGCAAGACGGAAAGACCCCGUGAACCUUUACUAUAGCUUGACACUGAACAUUGAGCCUUGAUGUGUAGGAUAGGUGGGAGGCUUUGAAGUGUGGACGCCAGUCUGCAUGGAGCCGACCUUGAAAUACCACCCUUUAAUGUUUGAUGUUCUAACGUUGGCCCGUAAUCCGGGUUGCGGACAGUGUCUGGUGGGUAGUUUGACUGGGGCGGUCUCCUCCUAAAGAGUAACGGAGGAGCACGAAGGUUGGCUAAUCCUGGUCGGACAUCAGGAGGUUAGUGCAAUGGCAUAAGCCAGCUUGACUGCGAGCGUGACGGCGCGAGCAGGUGCGAAAGCAGGUCAUAGUGAUCCGGUGGUUCUGAAUGGAAGGGCCAUCGCUCAACGGAUAAAAGGUACUCCGGGGAUAACAGGCUGAUACCGCCCAAGAGUUCAUAUCGACGGCGGUGUUUGGCACCUCGAUGUCGGCUCAUCACAUCCUGGGGCUGAAGUAGGUCCCAAGGGUAUGGCUGUUCGCCAUUUAAAGUGGUACGCGAGCUGGGUUUAGAACGUCGUGAGACAGUUCGGUCCCUAUCUGCCGUGGGCGCUGGAGAACUGAGGGGGGCUGCUCCUAGUACGAGAGGACCGGAGUGGACGCAUCACUGGUGUUCGGGUUGUCAUGCCAAUGGCACUGCCCGGUAGCUAAAUGCGGAAGAGAUAAGUGCUGAAAGCAUCUAAGCACGAAACUUGCCCCGAGAUGAGUUCUCCCUGAGACUUAGAGUCUCCUGAAGGAACGUUGAAGACGACGACGUUGAUAGGCCGGGUGUGUAAGCGCAGCGAUGCGUUGAGCUAACCGGUACUAAUGAACCGUGAGGCUUAACCUU